CUGAAAUCAUAGGGACCGGUCGGUUUCGGCUGAUGCGGUCUCUGGGGCUUCGGCCCUAUAACACAUUGUGAACUGUACUCCUAGGACCGAGUUCGCUUGGUACUAGUUCUUAAACUUUGUCUAAAAUGUCUUAUCCUAAAGAUCAAUCGAAA
Molecule: unclassified non-coding RNA, 152 nt
Filed under: uncultured fungus
Lineage: Eukaryota; Fungi
Description: sequence contains ITS1
Source: RNAcentral